RNAcentral lists this ribosomal RNA (255 nucleotides) under uncultured bacterium. RNAcentral describes it as "partial 16S ribosomal RNA". It matches the Rfam family "Bacterial small subunit ribosomal RNA", at positions 526 to 779 of the family's 1533-position model. The record is from RNAcentral.
CGGAGGGGACUAGCGUUGUUCGGAAUUACUGGGGCGUAAAGCGCGCGUAGGCGGAUCAGCAAGUUAGGGGUGAAAUCCCGGGGCUCAACCCCGGAACUGCCCUUAAAACUGUUGAUCUUGAGUUCGAGAGAGGUGAGUGGAAUUCCGAGUGUAGAGGUGAAAUUCGUAGAUAUUCGGAGGAACACCAGUGGCGAAGGCGGCUCACUGGCUCGAUACUGACGCUGAGGUGCGAAAGUGUGGGGAGCAAACAGGAUU